AGUAACGCGUGGGUAACCUGCCUCAUACAGGGGGAUAACAGUUAGAAAUGACUGCUAAUACCGCAUAAGCGCACAGUGCUGCAUGGCACAGUGUGAAAAACUCCGGUGGUAUGAGAUGGACCCGCGUCUGAUUAGCUAGUUGGUGGGGUAACGGCCUACCAAGCCGACGAUCAGUAGCCGACCUGAGAGGGUGACCGGCCACAUUGGGACUGAGACACGGCCCAA
RNAcentral lists this ribosomal RNA (225 nucleotides) under uncultured bacterium. RNAcentral's name for it is "partial 16S ribosomal RNA". It matches the Rfam family "Bacterial small subunit ribosomal RNA", at positions 109 to 334 of the family's 1533-position model. The record is from RNAcentral.